UCUCCCUUAUACAGUUGCACGUCAACCUACCGGCAUGAAUGAGAUGAAGAGUACAAGUGCUGAUGGAAGCAGGCAGUAGAGACAGAUAUAACAUGAAUUAUCUGGCUUCUACCACGAGGGAUCUGAAGGGGAACAGCCUGUAGGUUUCUCUGGGCUGUGCAAAAGGAGUAGGCCUGGGCAAUGACAAACGUGCCUCACCCACUUGCUGCACCAUUCAGUUUGUGUCCCUGUACUAACACCUUAAGCCACCUUGACAACCCGUAAGCAAACAAAACUAACAGAAAACAAAAACCCAAAGGGAAAGGGAAAAAAAAGCAAAGAAACCACGACAACCAGAAACCAAAACCUGCAGCACUGCUUUGGGAACGGAGAUUUUUGGAUGCAUUAUUCAGCGCUGGAGCGUUAAUCUCCGGCAUUAACGCUCCCAUCCACAGCCGCCUCUGGGCCGGGAGCAGUGCGAGGCGCGGCCGCGAGGGGCCGACCGCGGGCCGGGAGCGAUGCGAUGGAACGGCCGCGGCCCCACGGCUGCUCCCGGCGGCGCGCAGGCUCGGCGGGCGGCGCCUCCGCGGAGCAACAGGGCUCGCGUCGGCAGCAUCGCAGCGGACGGCCGCGCAGCUCCUGCGGUUGCUGGCUGCUGCAGCUUUGCACAUCGGGCGGUGGGAGCCUGGUGGGAGAGAGCUGCUGCUUUUUCCUCGGGUGGUUUUCCUUUUUUUUUUUUUAAUUUAUUUUUUUAAUCAAUUAUUGUUAUUUUUAUGGGUUUUAUAAGCGUUACCAAAAAAACAAAAAAACAAACCGCACAACAAGUGAACGAUGCAGGUAGCUGCUGCUGUGUGGAUGUGACGGGGAGAAACAGCAAGAAGCAACACUCGUCCUCCCAUCAGGAAAGCAGAGAGAAAAAUAACUCGUCAACCUGUGGUGCCGACCGACCUACCCACCCACCUGCAGGCGUGGGUCAAUUGGCGCAGCCCCCUGCUCAGGACUGCUGUCACCAGAUCCUUACACUGGCAAGAACAGCACUGCUAUUUGUCUGCCUAUGAACAGUUAAGUGCUUCUUCUGCAUGACCAUAACCAAAGGGUGACCCAUCCACUCCCUUAUGUCCUAUGGGGACCUCAGAACCAAUUUCUCAGUCUUCAUCUCCUCCUCCUCCUCUUACCACUGCUGCUGACGCCCUGGGUGCUGCUCCCAGGUUUGAAACAUUGUUGACAGGCUGAAGAAAGGAUUUGCAAAGACCUCCUCACUGUGUAAAUAGAGUGAUGGCUGGAAUUAGUUUCAACUCCCCAAAUCAUGAUAUUAAACAAUAAUAAGAUUGCUAGGCCAAAGCAUUACCAGGAACAAAUUGUGAGGAAAGAGACUAUUUGCAUUUGGUUGCAAUGAUGAACUAAAAUCAUCUAUGGAGAGCAGGUACCCUUUGUUUUGCAUGUUUUUGUCUUCAUGAAUGUAGUCAUGAAUCUGAUCAGAUCAGUGGUAGAUAUGGGAAAUAAAUGAAAAUAAAAGGGUUCA
Molecule: long non-coding RNA, 1501 nt
Filed under: Coturnix japonica (Japanese quail)
Lineage: Eukaryota; Metazoa; Chordata; Aves; Galliformes; Phasianidae
Description: lncRNA (ENSCJPG00005015398.1)
Source: RNAcentral